This is a long non-coding RNA of Plodia interpunctella (Indianmeal moth), 1854 nucleotides long. RefSeq lists it as uncharacterized. NCBI's taxonomy places the organism in Eukaryota, Metazoa, Arthropoda, Insecta, Lepidoptera, Pyralidae. The transcript is spliced from 2 exons. The record is from RefSeq and is a predicted model, not a curated record.
CGCACUCCCAGAACAACACUGCAUUAUGUCGAAAAAUUCCAAAAUUGACUUUAUUAUAUAUUCGAAUAGGCAAAAUUUUUACGCGUAUACCACGAAGACAGACUUAUUUCUAUUUGCAAAAAUACCCAACAGAUGGCGCGCUAACUCUCUGUUGGUGACGACACUUCGCCGGAGUCAUCCCGCGUACAUUGAACUAUUUCUAGUUGCAACUAGUUAGUCGAAGAGAACGGAGUGUACAACGUUUGCGCAACAGCAAAUUAUUUAGUAUUAAUACAGUGUUGGUGAAUGGAGUAAGAAAAUUAUUUCGGAUUAUUUCGUUUUGAUGCGAUAUUUGUGAUUAAGCUUGUGCAACAAUUUUGGAUUAUAUCAAAAUAGUACUUUAUUGUUGACGAAGAUGAUGAGAGAUCGGGGGCUUAUGUUGUUGGAAAAGGCCAUGGAAACUAGUGGAGUAGAAUCAGCCACGGAAGUUUCAGAAAGGGAGGUGUCCGUAUCUAUUUCAUCAACCAUGAAGCUUUAGAGAGUGAGGUACUUGUAUCUGUUUCAUCGGUUUAUGAAGCGUCAGGAUGGGAGGUACACAUAUCUGCUCCAUCCGCCUAUGAAGCACCAGGAAGUGAGAUACCCAUAUCUACUCCAUUAGUCUAUGCUGCAUCGGGAACGGAGUUACCCGAAUCUGUUCCAUUAGCUUAUAAAACAUCGGGUGAGGAGGUACUCGUACCUGCGUCAUCGGAUCAUAGCGAUGAUGAUUUUGUUGAUGACUCAGACGCUGAUCCUACUUUUAUUAUAUCAAAAAAACAUAUAUCUCAUCGUCCUGUAAUCCCUUAAAGAAUAUCGAGCUCGUCGUUCAGGCUCCAGCUCAUAUUCAUCAAGCUCCAGCUCCAGCUCCAGCAGUUCAAGUAGCUCAUCUGAUGACGAAUCCAAUAGACCGGGUCCUUUAACAGCAAAUACUCACGGGAAUCCAAAUUUUUCUCCAACUUUCGCGCCCUCCACAUCUUCUACAACUGACACUAUUCUGGUAGUGAGCGAACCCAAAUUAUGUAAAAAGAGAAAACAAAACCCUGCAACAAAUUAGACAGUUUCGCGUAGAGAAGCAACAUCCACUAGCUUUCUUCUACAAAACGAACGUUCGCGGAAUCUGACUUGAAAAAAGUCUAUGUUCGAAAUCGUACAGGCGGUACAGAGACCAGAGCUUUGCUCCGGUGCAACAAAACUACCUCUGUCCGUAAACAAAAAAAAAGAUAUUAUGGAUUUGAUCGAAAAAAAUAUAAUACCUACUAAUUAUGUUGAUUCCUAUUAUAAGACUGCCUUAGGCUUAGAAUAGUACAGCAUCAGCUGAGUUCCUAUUAUUUCUACUUGGAAACGAAAUUUCCCAUAUUUUUGUUAUUGUUAUUUUUAUUAACUACUUUUCGAUUAUUUUUUUAUCCUUAGUAAUGGUAUUUUAAAAGCUGAGUGAUUUUUAACCAUAAGUUAUAAAAAAUAUUUUUUAAUCCAGAAGACUGGUUAAGAUAAGUAAAUAAGUAGACUUGAAGCUUCUUGUUAUGUGCUACUAUUAUAAAAAUAUUAGUAGAUUGAACUAUUAUUCGUAGAGAUUGAAAGACUGGUUAAGUCCUAUUGUUAUUACCUAUGUUAAAUAUGCUAAGUUUAAGCAGAGGUAUGCUUCCUUUUUAAUAUUUUUUUUAUCAAAAUAUCAGUACCUAAGCUUAAAGACUUUGAAAAAGUUUAAGCAGAGUUGCCAAUUUGUGUUACCAAUUUUAAAAAAUAUAUUUUUGUUAUUAUUAAGUAUUUUUAUUAAGUAUAACCUAAGUAUUACUUAAUAAAAAUACAUAAUUGUUAUUUGAUUACACUGAUUUUUGUAUA